RNAcentral lists this ribosomal RNA (28 nucleotides) under Telipogon sp. Dod 168. Its description in RNAcentral is "partial 26S ribosomal RNA". The record is from RNAcentral. Lineage: Eukaryota; Viridiplantae; Streptophyta; Magnoliopsida; Asparagales; Orchidaceae.
GUGACCCCAGGAUGAGCGAGGCCACCCG